This is a long non-coding RNA of Cyprinodon tularosa, 491 nucleotides long. RefSeq lists it as uncharacterized. The transcript has 4 exons. The record is from RefSeq and is a predicted model, not a curated record. NCBI's taxonomy places the organism in Eukaryota, Metazoa, Chordata, Actinopteri, Cyprinodontiformes, Cyprinodontidae.
UCUACGGUGAGGACUUGAUAUGCAUCACAUGGCACAUUUCAAAAUAAAAGCCCUCUUAUUGUGACAGAUAAUUUUAUUCUCAUGAAGGCAGGUUGGACUCUGAAGGAGCUUCGCUGGGAGGAAUAAAAGAUCCUGCAGCGUCGAUCCUUCAGAGACCAAACAGAGCGCCGCACCUCGACUGAUGGGGCGAACUCACCUUCCAGCUGCUCCGUGGUGACGAGGCCGAGGGCGACCAUGAAGGCCAUUUUCUGCAAGAAAUGAAGAAGAAUGGAGUCAUUCUGCGCCUCUAGGAAAGAUUCAGCUGUAAAACCAAACUGGACUUCACCUCUGGGUCCUCCUUCUUCUUCUUUGGAGGAGAUUUUACAGUUGGAGCCUCCUGAGAGGAGAGGUCAGCCUGGACCCCUGGGGACCCCUCAGUGCUGCUGGGGGCCUGGGGCUGGAUUAUGAUCACCUGGAAACACAAAGUCCUCACAUUAAAACACGUUUCAAAA